RNAcentral lists this ribosomal RNA (465 nucleotides) under Vreelandella stevensii. Its description in RNAcentral is "partial 16S ribosomal RNA". It matches the Rfam family "Bacterial small subunit ribosomal RNA", at positions 338 to 795 of the family's 1533-position model. The record is from RNAcentral. Lineage: Bacteria; Pseudomonadati; Pseudomonadota; Gammaproteobacteria; Oceanospirillales; Halomonadaceae.
CCUACGGGUGGCAGCAGUGGGGAAUAUUGGACAAUGGGGGCAACCCUGAUCCGGCCAUGCCGCGUGUGUGAAGAAGGCCCUCGGGUUGUAAAGCACUUUCAGUGAGGAAGAACGCCUGGUGGUUAAUACCCAUCAGGAAAGACAUCACUCACAGAAGAAGCACCGGCUAACUCCGUGCCAGCAGCCGCGGUAAUACGGAGGGUGCGAGCGUUAAUCGGAAUUACUGGGCGUAAAGCGCGCGUAGGUGGCUUGAUAAGCCGGUUGUGAAAGCCCCGGGCUCAACCUGGGAACGGCAUCCGGAACUGUCAAGCUAGAGUGCAGGAGAGGAAGGUAGAAUUCCCGGUGUAGCGGUGAAAUGCGUAGAGAUCGGGAGGAAUACCAGUGGCGAAGGCGGCCUUCUGGACUGACACUGACACUGAGGUGCGAAAGCGUGGGUAGCAAACAGGAUUAGAUACCCCUGUAGUC